Molecule: ribosomal RNA, 492 nt
Filed under: uncultured bacterium
Lineage: Bacteria
Description: partial 16S ribosomal RNA
Rfam family: Bacterial small subunit ribosomal RNA
Source: RNAcentral
AUUGAACGCUGGCGGCAUGCUUUACACAUGCAAGUCGAACGGUAACAGGCCUUCGGGUGCUGACGAGUGGCGAACGGGUGAGUAAUGCAUCGGAACGUACCCAGAGGUGGGGGAUAACGCAGCGAAAGCUGUGCUAAUACCGCAUGUGAUCUGAGGAUGAAAGCGGGGGACCGAGCAGCAAUGUUUGGCCUCGCGCCUUUGGAGCGGCCGAUGUCGGAUUAGCUAGUUGGUGGGGUAAAGGCCUACCAAGGCGACGAUCCGUAGCUGGUCUGAGAGGACGACCAGCCACACUGGGACUGAGACACGGCCCAGACUCCUACGGGAGGCAGCAGUGGGGAAUUUUGGACAAAGGGCGCAAGCCUGAUCCAGCGAUGCCGCGUGCGGGAAGAAGGCCUUCGGGUUGUAAACCGCUUUUGGCAGGAACGAAACGGUGUCCGCUAAUACCGGGCGCUAAUGACGGUACCUGCAGAAUAAGCACCGGCUAACUACGUG